This 351-nucleotide transfer-messenger RNA is filed under the name Phycisphaerae bacterium. It matches the Rfam family "transfer-messenger RNA". From Rfam's summary of the family: Bacterial tmRNA, also known as 10Sa RNA or SsrA, is named for its dual tRNA and mRNA-like properties. Its role is to liberate the mRNA from a stalled ribosome. To accomplish this part of the tmRNA is used as a reading frame that ends in a translation stop signal. The record is from RNAcentral. Lineage: Bacteria; Pseudomonadati; Planctomycetota; Phycisphaerae.
GGGGGCGACUGGCUUCGACCGGACAGGUAGACGGCCGGGUGGCAUGCCCAGGAUGACGGUUGGCCUGGCUAAUCAUCCGUUACACUUUUUAACUGGCAACUACCAGUAUAAACUGGCUGCAUAAAUGCGGCCCGUCCUGUGAGAGUUCUUUCCGCGGUUCUCACGAGGGCGCCGACAGCGGAAUAGGUUGCCGAUGUGUUCGCGGUCGGUGAGCGAAACUUAGCGAACUAGCGACAACAACAGCCUGUCGUUUGGCGAUUGUUCGGGCGAAUCUCAAACAAACGACUAAGCAUGUAGAGGCCUUGCCUGAAAUGUCACGGGACGGGGGUUCGAAUCCCCCCGCCUCCACUC